UAAAUAGAACUAUUGUCAAAGGUUAAAGAACUACCAGUAAAUUGUACAUUGAAACCUGUUAGCUUCUGAGUUCUGUUUUGUAUAUAAUGUAUAUUUUCUAUGUUAUGUUGCCUUGAGUUUAUGUUUUUAAUAUAACAUCGAGACUAUUUUCACUAGUUCGUCAGCCAAAUUAAGUGUUAACAAAGUCCAUAACAAGAAUUUUAAAGCACAAGACAUGUCAUUGUAUCAUAUUUAUUGGUAAAGCUUCAACAAAGGUCCAACCUAAUCUAAAAAUCUUCAAUUACGCUUAGUUACAUGUACUGUACUUUCCCAAGGUAAUAUCAUUAUAGACAGGUAAGGUCUGAUUGAAACUUUAAAAUUCAUCAAAAGUUUACAGGAAUUUCUU
Paramuricea clavata is the source of this 385-nucleotide non-coding RNA. Lineage: Eukaryota; Metazoa; Cnidaria; Anthozoa; Malacalcyonacea; Plexauridae. The record is from the annotation of a GenBank genome assembly.